Molecule: ribosomal RNA, 423 nt
Filed under: uncultured bacterium
Lineage: Bacteria
Description: bacterial SSU rRNA
Rfam family: Bacterial small subunit ribosomal RNA
Source: RNAcentral
AAGACCUUGCACUUUUGGAGCGGCCGAUGUCUGAUUAGCUAGUUGGUGGGGUAAUGGCCUACCAAAGCUUCGAUCAGUAGCUGGUCUGAGAGGACGGCCAGCCACACUGGGACUGAGACACGGCCCAGACUCCUACGGGAGGCAGCAGUGGGGAAUUUUGGACAAUGGGCGCAAGCCUGAUCCAGCCAUGCCGCGUGAGUGAAGAAGGCCUUCGGGUUGUAAAGCUCUUUCAGCCGGGAAGAAAAGGUUGCGACUAAUAAUCGCAAUUCAUGACGGUACCGAAAGAGGAAGCACCGGCUAACUACGUGCCAGCAGCCGCGGUAAUACGUAGGGUGCGAGCGUUAAUCGGAAUUACUGGGCGUAAAGGGUGCGCAGGCGGUUUUGUAAGUCAGAUGUGAAAUCCCCGGGCUUAACCUGGGAACU